ACGGGUGCGUAACGCGUGGGAAUCUGCCCUUUGGUUCGGAAUAACCGUUGGAAACGACGGCUAAUACCGGAUGAUGACGUUAAGUCCAAAGAUUUAUCGCCAGAGGAUGAGCCCGCGUGAGAUUAGGUAGUUGGUGGGGUAAAGGCCUACCAAGCCGACGAUCUCUAGCUGGUCUGAGAGGAUGAUCAGCCACACUGGGACUGAGACACGGCCCAGACUCCUACGGGAGGCAGCAGUGGGGAAUAUUGGACAAUGGGCGCAAGCCUAAUCCAGCAAUGCCGCGUGAGUGAUGAAGGCCUUAGGGUUGUAAAGCUCUUUUACCCGGGAUGAUAAUGACAGUACCGGGAGAAUAAGCCCCGGCUAACUCCGUGCCAGCAGCCGCGGUAAUACGGAGGGGGCUAGCGUUGCUCGGAAUUACUGGGCGUAAAGCGCACGUAGGCGGCUUUGUAAGUUAGGGGUGAAAGCCUGGAGCUCAACUCCAGAAUUGCCUUUAAGACUGCAUCGCUUGAAUCCGGGAGAGGUGAGUGGAAUUCCGAGUGUAGAGGUGAAAUUCGUAGA
This 558-nucleotide ribosomal RNA is filed under the name uncultured Sphingomonas sp. RNAcentral's name for it is "bacterial SSU rRNA". It matches the Rfam family "Bacterial small subunit ribosomal RNA", at positions 102 to 694 of the family's 1533-position model. Lineage: Bacteria; Pseudomonadati; Pseudomonadota; Alphaproteobacteria; Sphingomonadales; Sphingomonadaceae. The record is from RNAcentral.